Molecule: ribosomal RNA, 461 nt
Filed under: uncultured bacterium
Lineage: Bacteria
Description: bacterial SSU rRNA
Rfam family: Bacterial small subunit ribosomal RNA
Source: RNAcentral
AAUCAACGCUGGCGGCGUGCCUAACACAUGCAAGUCGCACGAGAAAGGGGAGCAAUCCCUGAGUAAAGUGGCGCACGGGUGAGUAACACGUGAAUCAUCUACCUCCGAGUGGGGAAUAACUGAGAGAAAUCUUAGCUAAUACCGCAUAACACUUACGAGUCAAAGCAGCAAUGCGCUUGGAGAGGAGUUCGCGGCCGAUUAGUUAGUUGGCGGGGUAAUGGCCCACCAAGACGAUGAUCGGUAUCCGGCCUGAGAGGGCGCACGGACACACUGGAACUGAAACACGGUCCAGACUCCUACGGGAGGCAGCAGUGGGGAAUUUUGCGCAAUGGGGGAAACCCUGACGCAGCAACGCCGCGUGGAGGAUGAAGUAUCUUGGUACGUAAACUCCUUUCGAUUGGGAAGAUAAUGGCGGUACCAAUAGAAGAAGCCCCGGCUAACUUCGUGCCAGCAGCCGCAGU